This 252-nucleotide ribosomal RNA is filed under the name uncultured bacterium. RNAcentral's name for it is "partial 16S ribosomal RNA". It matches the Rfam family "Bacterial small subunit ribosomal RNA", at positions 524 to 776 of the family's 1533-position model. The record is from RNAcentral.
UACGGGGGGUGCGAGCGUUGUCCGGAAUCACUGGGCGUAAAGGGCGCGUAGGUGGUUUGAUAAGGGUGUGGUGAAAGUCCGGGGCUCAACCCCGGAUCUGCCGUGCCGACUGUCAAACUCGAGGGCUGUAGAGGCAGACGGAAUUCCGGGUGUAGCGGUGGAAUGCGUAGAGAUCCGGAGGAAGACCGGUGGCGAAGGCGGUCUGCUGGGCAGUUUCUGACACUGAGGCGCGACAGCGUGGGAGCAAACAGG